RNAcentral lists this ribosomal RNA (450 nucleotides) under uncultured bacterium. Its description in RNAcentral is "partial 16S ribosomal RNA". It matches the Rfam family "Bacterial small subunit ribosomal RNA", at positions 354 to 796 of the family's 1533-position model. The record is from RNAcentral.
GUGGGGAAUCUUCCGCAAUGGACGAAAGUCUGACGGAGCGACGCCGCGUGAGUGAAGAAGGCCUUCGGGUCGUAAAGCUCUGUCAUCAGGGACGAACGGCCGGUGGAGUGGAAAGCCACCGGAUUGACGGUACCUGAGAAGGAAGCCACGGCUAACUACGUGCCAGCAGCCGCGGUAAUACGUAGGUGGCAAGCGUUGUCCUGAAUUAUUGGGCGUAAAGCGCGCGCAGGUGUGAUCUUAAGUCCAUUUUGAAAGUUCGGAGCUCAACUCCGUGAUGGGAUGGAAACUGGGAUUCUUGAGUACCGGAGAGGAAAGCGGAAUUCCCCGUGUAGCGGUGAAAUGCGUAGAUAUGGGGAGGAACACCAGUGGCGAAGGCGGCUUUCUGGACGGUGUCUGACACUGAGGCGCGAAAGCUAGGGGAGCGAACGGGAUUAGAAACCCCGGUAGUCC